This 253-nucleotide ribosomal RNA is filed under the name uncultured bacterium. Its description in RNAcentral is "partial 16S ribosomal RNA". It matches the Rfam family "Bacterial small subunit ribosomal RNA", at positions 524 to 776 of the family's 1533-position model. The record is from RNAcentral.
UACGUAGGGACCAAGCGUUGUUCGGAUUCAUUGGGCGUAAAGGGUGCGUAGGCGGCGUGGUAAGUCGGGUGUGAAAUCUCGGAGCUUAACUCCGAAACUGCAUUCGAUACUGCCGUGCUUGAGGACUGGAGAGGAGACUGGAAUUUACGGUGUAGCGGUGAAAUGCGUAGAUAUCGUAAGGAAGACCAGUGGCGAAGGCGGGUCUCUGGACAGUUCCUGACGCUGAGGCACGAAGGCCAGGGGAGCAAACGGG